Molecule: ribosomal RNA, 390 nt
Filed under: uncultured Planktothrix sp.
Lineage: Bacteria; Bacillati; Cyanobacteriota; Cyanophyceae; Oscillatoriales; Microcoleaceae
Description: bacterial SSU rRNA
Rfam family: Bacterial small subunit ribosomal RNA
Source: RNAcentral
CGAAAGCCUGACGGAGCAAGACCGCGUGGGGGAGGAAGGUUCUUGGAUUGUCAACCCCUUUUCUCAGGGAAGAAGAAAGUGACGGUACCUGAGGAAGAAGCAUCGGCUAACUCCGUGCCAGCAGCCGCGGUAAUACGGAGGAUGCAAGCGUUAUCCGGAAUGAUUGGGCGUAAAGAGUCCGUAGGUGGCCCUUCAAGUCUGCUGUUAAAGAGCGAGGCUUAACUUCGUAAAAGCAGUGGAAACUGGAGAGCUAGAGUGUAGUAGGGGCAGAGGGAAUUCCUGGUGUAGCGGUGAAAUGCGUAGAGAUCAGGAAGAACACCGGUGGCGAAAGCGCUCUGCUGGGCUACAACUGACACUGAGGGACGAAAGCUAGGGGAGCGAAUGGGAUUA